Molecule: long non-coding RNA, 536 nt
Filed under: Nicotiana benthamiana
Lineage: Eukaryota; Viridiplantae; Streptophyta; Magnoliopsida; Solanales; Solanaceae
Description: long non-coding RNA (NBEN_LNC008889)
Source: RNAcentral
UCGUCUGACGUCAUAUUUUUUGAGUCUAAACCUUUCUUUAACUCUUCUGACCAUUCUGACCACUUUGAUAUAUCUGGGGUCUUACCUAUACCGACCUUUAAGGAGUCUACCAUAGCUCCUCCUUCACCUUCCGACACAGAAGUCUUACCUGAGCCUAUUAUAGCUCCUCCUUCACCUUCCGCUACAGAAGUCUUACCCAUUCCAACCGUUGGGGAGUCUAGUGUGGCUCCUCCUAGACUCCCUGCCACAGGAACACCACUCUUGACAUAUCAUCGUCACCCGCACCCAGCAUCAGGCCCAGCUGAUUCACAUCCUGCACUUGACCCUAACUCCCUGCCACAGGAACACCACUCUUGAUAUAUCAUCGUCGUCCGCACCCAGGAUCAAGCCCAGCUGAUUCACAUCCUGCACCUGACCCUGCUCCUACUGCGGACUUGUCUAUUCCUAGUACACCGAUUGCCUUCGGAAGGUUUACAGACCACCCUUAAUCCUAAUCCCCAUCAUGUCGGUUUGAGUUAUCAUUGUUUAUCGUCACC